UACGUUGGGGGCAAGCGUUGUCCGGAAUCAUUGGGCGUAAAGCGCGUGUAGGCGGCCCGGUAAGUCCGCUGUGAAAGUCGGGGGCUCAACCCUCGGAUGCCGGUGGAUACUGUCGGGCUAGAGUGCGGGAGAGGCGAGUGGAAUUCCUGGUGUAGCGGUGAAAUGCGCAGAUAUCAGGAGGAACACCAAUUGCGAAGGCAGCUCGCUGGAACGUUACUGACGCUGAGACGCGAAAGCGUGGGGAGCAAACAGG
This 253-nucleotide ribosomal RNA is filed under the name uncultured bacterium. Its description in RNAcentral is "partial 16S ribosomal RNA". It matches the Rfam family "Bacterial small subunit ribosomal RNA", at positions 524 to 776 of the family's 1533-position model. The record is from RNAcentral.